RNAcentral lists this ribosomal RNA (254 nucleotides) under uncultured bacterium. Its description in RNAcentral is "partial 16S ribosomal RNA". It matches the Rfam family "Bacterial small subunit ribosomal RNA", at positions 524 to 776 of the family's 1533-position model. The record is from RNAcentral.
UACGUAGGGGGCAAGCGUUAUCCGGAUUUACUGGGUGUAAAGGGAGCGUAGGUGGCAUGGUAAGCCAGAAGUGAAAACCCGGGGCUCAACCCCGCGGAUUGCUUUUGGAACUAUCAGGCUGGAGUGCUGGAGGGGUAAGCGGAAUUCCUAGUGUAGCGGUGGAAUGCGUAGAUAUUAGGAGGAACACCGGUGGCGAAGGCGGCUUACUGGACAGAAACUGACACUGAGGCUCGAAAGCGUGGGGAGCAAACAGG